ACCCAGGCUCUAUUUGCCCGCACCCGCCUGUGACUCCCUCGUAAUAAGGAAGUCACAGGCGGGCGCGUGCAAAUAGGGCCUGGGUUACGUGU
Molecule: microRNA precursor, 92 nt
Filed under: Paramuricea clavata
Lineage: Eukaryota; Metazoa; Cnidaria; Anthozoa; Malacalcyonacea; Plexauridae
Source: RNAcentral